Molecule: long non-coding RNA, 185 nt
Organism: Temnothorax curvispinosus
Lineage: Eukaryota; Metazoa; Arthropoda; Insecta; Hymenoptera; Formicidae
Exons: 3
Source: RefSeq, a predicted model, not a curated record
UAUUACCAGAUUCUAAAAUGUGUGUGGCAAUGUAAGAGCUAUGUUGCUGCAGUUGGAUUUAUCUAAAUCGAGGGCUGGUUAUCUAUACUGUCACCGUGAUUUCGUUGGAUGGAUAUGAUAAGGAUAAAUUAAAAGUGAUAAGAGGUAAUAGUGAGCUGAGACUGAAUUAAUAAGGAUAAAGGAUA